RNAcentral lists this ribosomal RNA (529 nucleotides) under Copelatus sp. MB6566. Its description in RNAcentral is "SSU rRNA". It matches the Rfam family "Eukaryotic small subunit ribosomal RNA", at positions 8 to 509 of the family's 1831-position model. The record is from RNAcentral. Lineage: Eukaryota; Metazoa; Arthropoda; Insecta; Coleoptera; Dytiscidae.
UUGAUCCUGCCAGUAGUCAUAUGCUUGUCUCAAAGAUUAAGCCAUGCAUGUCUCAGUACAAGCCACAUUAAGGUGAAACCGCGAAAGGCUCAUUAAAUCAGUUAUGGUUCCUUAGAUCGUACCCACAUUUACUUGGAUAACUGUGGUAAUUCUAGAGCUAAUACAUGCAAACAGAGUUCCGACCGGAGACGGGAGGAAUGCUUUUAUUAGAUCAAAACCAAUCGGCGGCGGGCGCGAAACCGCACCUCCGCCGCUCAACCUGGUGACUCUGAAUAACUUUCAGCUGAUCGCACGGUCUAGCACCGGCGACGCAUCUUUCAAAUGUCUGCCUUAUCAACUGUCGAUGGUAGGUUCUGCGCCUACCAUGGUCGUAACGGGUAACGGGGAAUCAGGGUUCGAUUCCGGAGAGGGAGCCUGAGAAACGGCUACCACAUCCAAGGAAGGCAGCAGGCGCGCAAAUUACCCACUCCCGGCACGGGGAGGUAGUGACGAAAAAUAACGAUACGGGACUCAUCCGAGGCCCCGUAAU